UUUAUCGGAGAGUUUGAUCCUGGCUCAGGACGAACGCUGGCGGCGUGCCUAAUACAUGCAAGUCGAGCGGACAGAUGGGAGCUUGCUCCCUGUUGUUAGCGGCGGACGGGUGAGUAACACGUGGGUAACCUGCCUGUAAGACUGGGAUAACUCCGGGAAACCGGGGCUAAUACCGGAUGGUUGUUUGAACCGCAUGGUUCAGACAUAAAAGGUGGCUUCGGCUACCACUUACAGAUGGACCCGCGGCGCAUUAGCUAGUUGGUGAGGUAACGGCUCACCAAGGCAACGAUGCGUAGCC
Molecule: ribosomal RNA, 298 nt
Filed under: Bacillus velezensis
Lineage: Bacteria; Bacillati; Bacillota; Bacilli; Caryophanales; Bacillaceae
Description: partial 16S ribosomal RNA
Rfam family: Bacterial small subunit ribosomal RNA
Source: RNAcentral